UACGUAGGGUGCAAGCGUUGUCCGGAAUUAUUGGGCGUAAAGAGCUCGUAGGCGGCUUGUCACGUCGGGUGUGAAGGCCCGGGGCUUAACCCCGGGUCUGCAUUCGAUACGGGCAGGCUAGAGUGUGGUAGGGGAGAUCGGAAUUCCUGGUGUAGCGGUGAAAUGCGCAGAUAUCAGGAGGAACACCGGUGGCGAAGGCGGGUCUCUGGGCCGUAACUGACGCUGAGGAGCGAAAGCGUGGGGAGCGAACAGG
Molecule: ribosomal RNA, 253 nt
Filed under: uncultured bacterium
Lineage: Bacteria
Description: partial 16S ribosomal RNA
Rfam family: Bacterial small subunit ribosomal RNA
Source: RNAcentral